Molecule: ribosomal RNA, 320 nt
Filed under: uncultured eukaryote
Lineage: Eukaryota
Description: partial 18S ribosomal RNA
Rfam family: Eukaryotic small subunit ribosomal RNA
Source: RNAcentral
CCCCUAGAUGUUCUGGGCCGCACGCGCGCUACACUGAACAGUUCAACAAGUCUUAACCUUGGCCGAUAGGUCUGGGUAAUCUUUGAACGCUGUUCGUGAUUGGGAUAGACCUUUGCAAUUAUGGGUCUUCAACGAGGAAUUCCUAGUAAACGCAAGUCAUCAGCUUGCAUUGAUUACGUCCCUGCCCUUUGCACACACCGCCCGUCGCACCUACCGAUUGAAUGGUCCGGUGAAAUCUCGGGACGGCGGCUUGGUCGCUUGCGUCCGACUGCUGAAACUUGAUUAAACCAUAUCAUUUAGAGGAAGGUGAAGUCGUAACA